RNAcentral lists this ribosomal RNA (468 nucleotides) under uncultured bacterium. Its description in RNAcentral is "partial 16S ribosomal RNA". It matches the Rfam family "Bacterial small subunit ribosomal RNA", at positions 28 to 507 of the family's 1533-position model. The record is from RNAcentral.
GACGAACGCUGGCGGCGUGCUUAACACAUGCAAGUCGAACGGAAAGGCCCUGCUUUUGUGGGGUGCUCGAGUGGCGAACGGGUGAGUAACACGUGAGUAACCUGCCCUUGACUUUGGGAUAACUUCAGGAAACUGGGGCUAAUACCGGAUAGGAGCUCCUGCUGCAUGGUGGGGGUUGGAAAGUUUCGGCGGUUGGGGAUGGACUCGCGGCUUAUCAGCCUGUUGGUGGGGUAGUGGCUUACCAAGGCUUUGACGGGUAGCCGGCCUGAGAGGGUGACCGGCCACAUUGGGACUGAGAUACGGCCCAGACUCCUACGGGAGGCAGCAGUGGGGAAUAUUGCACAAUGGGCGGAAGCCUGAUGCAGCAACGCCGCGUGCGUGAUGACGGCCUUCGGGUUGUAAACCGCUUUCGCCUGUGACGAAGCGUGAGUGACGGUAAUGGGUAAAGAAGCACCGGCUAACUACGUG